UGCCCUCAGCAAAGUUAUCAGAAGCUCACCAACCCUUCUAGGCCCAGUUCAAAUGGGGUUUCCACCUCCGUGGGCUGAGUCCAUCUGUCUUUCCUCGGUGCUUUCCUAAUAUUCCUCCUUUCUGUGUGCUGUUGUACUCUAAUUGUACAGUACAUUCAUACUUCAAUUCUCACCAGCGUGUGAGCUUCUCAAAGCCAAGGGCAGUGUUUUAUUCUUUUUGAAAACUCUCUUUGCCUCAUUUGGUCCUUGUCACUUAAUAGAUCCUCAAUAAAUAGAGUUGGACAAAUGAACCAAGUAAUCAGUCCAGCAGCUUAGAUCUCCAAGCCCGACCUUCUGACCUUCAGCUCACACUCAGGGCCUGGUGAGACCAACACAGCUCCUGGACAGGGUCCACCACCUCCAUCACUGUGCCUUGUCCCUGUCUUCCUUGCACUAGUGUGUGUGUGUAAUCACAGGUCACCUACUGACUAUGUGCAUGGAGAGCUCACUUAUCUUUGCAUCUGUGGGACCCAGAACAAAAGCCAUGAAGUAUUUUGAAACCAUGGAGUCCACUGAAAGGAGGAGCUACUUAUGGCCAGGUGACCAACGAGGGACUUCAGGACCACAGAAACUCUGAGCCGGCUGAAAGCUGAAAGGACCCAGGGCUUCUCAUACUAUAUCUCUGUCCCUUCCUACUGCUUCACCUCCCUCCAGGCCGCUCUUUCCUCACACCUGAACUAUGGAAUAGCCUCUCAAACAGAGGUGAGAAAAAUUGGGAGGCUUAAAGAGAUAACCACCUUCUGAACUCCGCCAUACUCUCCUUCCUGCUGAAGGAGAUAAAACAAACUCAUGGCACCAAGCUGGGCCAUAUAAUUCUGAGUUAGUGCCAGUCUCAUUGGUCAGGAAGCCAUUUACCUUCACUUUGCUUCAAGGUUUCCAUCUGUAAAAGCAAAGGAUAUGACUUGCUCCCUACUCAAUAUUCAGGACUAUGCUGGAAAGAUUCAUGAACAAAGGUUUGGAGAGCUCCCGGAAGGAGUGGGGAAAUCUGAUCACCAUGUGUGUUCAAGGAAAAAAUGGAAACAGCCCUUCUCUGGGAAAAUGAAAGAAGUCACCUCCAAUCUGAUGACAACUGUGUGCCAUGAGGUUCAGCAGAGAGAAGGUGCCAUGAACGCCAGUGGAAGUUGCCAGAAAGUAAUGGAGAUAAGAAGAGUGAAGCAGACACCAGGAUCCAUUAGCUGGCCAGCUCUCUUGGGAAGCUGAGCACACUGUCAAGGACAGCCAAACAUUCAAGAGACUUUUCCCACAUAAUCCCUGCUUUGGAUGUCUUGUAUAUCUUGAUCAGUUUGUUGGGUACAUGGGUGAGUUCAUCAAACUGCACACCUAUGUAAAUUUUAUCUUAAUUUAAAAUCUAUCUAUCUAAUUCCACACAAAUAAAUGAGUUCCCUGCCCAUCAACAGCUAUACUCCAAUUACCGAUUUUUUAAUAGUCCUCAUAUUUAUAUUUAACAAGAUUAAUGUAUGCAAAUAUGAAUAUUCAUGUAUAUCAUAAUCUACAGAUUAAAAUUGGCUGUCAUUCUCUAGUAACUUAUCUCUGAACAUUUAUAAUGCACUGAUAACCUUUCAAAUGUCAGAUAUCUUUGGAAUUAUCAGAAAUAAAAUUAAACUGUGAGCAGCACACUUUUAGUGUUAAAUAUUGUUUUAUUGUUUUCUAAUUCAUUAAAAAUUGGUAAAGCAUGUAUGGAAAUGUAACAACUCUAUCAGAAUACUGGUUUGCCCAGGGGUGCCUGGGUGUCUCAGUCGGUUAAGCGUCCAACUUCGGCUCAGGUCGUGAUUUCCUGGUUUGUGAGUUCAAGCCCUGCAUGGGGCUCUGUGCUGACAGCAUGGAGCCUGGAGCCUGUUUCAGAUUCAGUGUCUCCCUCUCCUCUGCCCCUUCCCUGCUCUCUCUCUCU
Molecule: long non-coding RNA, 1927 nt
Organism: Panthera uncia (snow leopard)
Lineage: Eukaryota; Metazoa; Chordata; Mammalia; Carnivora; Felidae
Exons: 4
Source: RefSeq, a predicted model, not a curated record